This is a long non-coding RNA of Ostrea edulis (European flat oyster), 768 nucleotides long. RefSeq lists it as uncharacterized. Lineage: Eukaryota; Metazoa; Mollusca; Bivalvia; Ostreida; Ostreidae. The transcript is spliced from 2 exons. The record is from RefSeq and is a predicted model, not a curated record.
UCGAGUUACUCCGGAACACAGUGUUUAUUCUGUGUUUAGUCACGCCGCGUCAAAAAUGUUCCACAGGGUUACUUCCGGUUUAUCGUUGUUUACCUUUGUUUACCAACAGUCGACACUUCGUGUAUUAGGCCUAGGCUUAAUUUUGUCGAUCAUCAUGAAAUUGAAAUACACAUUUAAUAGUUUGGGGUGUAUGCGGUACAUAUUUGUUUAUGAGCGUUUGAUAAGCUACUAUUGAUCUACGAAAUACAACGAAAGACUUCGUCAAGAACAGAAGAAGACGAUGUCGUGUAACUCGCACAAGGCCCAGCUGUCUAGUAACCGGAGGGGUAAAGGAAAAGAACGUAUUAGACUCACUGAAACCUGUCAAACAGGUAUAUGGGAACAGGAUCAUUUUCCAUGCCUUUCACUUGAGGUCUUCAGUUUCAUCAUUAAUCAUCUGAAUGUCGGUAUGCCAAACUCUCAUGAUGUCAUGCCAUUACUGGAUAUUCCUUAACACUGGUUUAUUUAAGCCACACUACCUAUAACAUUGCCAAAAUAUUAGACUGAAAAUUUUCAAAUACACAAGAUUUGAAGCAGCAAAAGAAAAGAAUUACAUAUGUAUAACACACAAAAAAGAAGAAAUUAAUUCUCACCUGGCUGAUAUGAACUUUUUACUCCUUUUUAGCUCCCUUUCACUGCAUACCAGCCAAUAACUAGCAGUCAUUAUAUGCAGAUCAGCCAUUGUUAUCAACCUGUGUAUAUAUAUGUUGAAUAAAAUAUGAAUGAAAA